AGACGCACUAUGAAAAUGGAGAGUACAUUAUCAGGCAAGGGGCUCGAGGGGACACUUUCUUUAUAAUCAGCAAAGGAAAGGUAAAUGUUACUCGUGAAGAUUCACCCAGUGAAGAGCCAAUCUUUCUCCGCACUUUAGGGAAAGGAGAUUGGUUUGGAGAAAAAGCACUUCAGGGGGAGGAUGUCAGAACAGCCAAUGUCAUUGCUGCUGAAGCAGUAACUUGUCUUGUCAUAGACCGAGA
Chelonoidis abingdonii (Abingdon island giant tortoise) is the source of this 241-nucleotide non-coding RNA. Lineage: Eukaryota; Metazoa; Chordata; Testudines; Testudinidae. The record is from RefSeq and is a predicted model, not a curated record.